Molecule: ribosomal RNA, 627 nt
Filed under: uncultured bacterium
Lineage: Bacteria
Description: bacterial SSU rRNA
Rfam family: Bacterial small subunit ribosomal RNA (bases 1-531)
Source: RNAcentral
CCUACGGGAGGCAGCAGUGAGGAAUUUUCCGCAAUGGGCGAAAGCCUGACGGAGCAAUGCCGCGUGGAGGAUGGAAGCCUAUGGGUUGUAAACUCCUUUUCUCAGAGAAGAAAUUUUGACGGUAUCUGAGGAAUAAGCAUCGGCUAACUCCGUGCCAGCAGCCGCGGUAAUACGGGGGAUGCAAGUGUUAUCCGGAAUAAUUGGGCGUAAAGCGUCUGUAGGUGGUUGACCAAGUCUGUUGUUAAAAACUCAGGGCUUAACCCUGAUCCGGCAACAGAAACUAGUAAACUUGAGUACGGUAGGGGCAGAGGGAAUUCUCGGUGUAGUGGUGAAAUACGUAGAUAUCGAGAAGAACACCAAUAGCGAAAGCACUCUGCUGGGCCGAAACUGACAUUGAGAGACGAAAGCUAGGGGAGCAAAAGGGAUUAGAUACCCCUGUAGUCCUAGCCGUAAACGAUGGAUACUAAGUGCUGUGCGACUACAAACGUACCGACGUGCUGUAGUACGUAACGUACGUGAAGUAGUACCGUCCGUCGGGUAGGUAGUGUCGUCGCGAGAGUAGAACGUACGAAACGGAAAGUUAGACGGCGUGAGACGUGCCGACGGACGACCGACGAGGGAGGUAGG